RNAcentral lists this ribosomal RNA (252 nucleotides) under uncultured bacterium. RNAcentral's name for it is "partial 16S ribosomal RNA". It matches the Rfam family "Bacterial small subunit ribosomal RNA", at positions 524 to 776 of the family's 1533-position model. The record is from RNAcentral.
UACGUAGGUCCCAAGCGUUGUCCGGAUUUAUUGGGCGUAAAGCGAGCGCAGGUGGUUUAUUAAGUCUGGUGUAAAAGGCAGUGGCUCAACCAUUGUAUGCAUUGGAAACUGGUAGACUUGAGUGCAGGAGAGGAGAGUGGAAUUCCAUGUGUAGCGGUGAAAUGCGUAGAUAUAUGGAGGAACACCGGUGGCGAAGGCGGCUUGCUGGACGAUGACUGACGUUGAGGCUCGAAAGCGUGAGGAGCAAACAGG